Non-coding RNA from Benincasa hispida (wax gourd), 582 nucleotides. The record is from RefSeq and is a predicted model, not a curated record. NCBI's taxonomy places the organism in Eukaryota, Viridiplantae, Streptophyta, Magnoliopsida, Cucurbitales, Cucurbitaceae.
CAAAUAAAAGAGGAAGAAAAGAAGAAAAAUAAUUAAUUCUUCUCUCUCUCUUCAUGCAUAUAUGCUGACACACAACCUUCUUUUUCUGCGUUUUCGUUCCUGUGCGUAGCCACAACCUUAAGUCGUCGCCACCGCUAAACCCUAGCUUUCAUAUCCGUCCUAUGAUGUCGCCUCUCUCUGACCUUAGUCACCGAUCGGAUCCCGUCGUUCGCUUAUCAUUCACUCAAUUUAUCAAACGUCCGCCCAGUCCACCACAGGUUUAUGUCUUUUCUUCUCCGCCAGAUUCGUUUGAUGCCCUUGGUUGUCUCAGACGUCCGCUCGCACUGUCAAAGCUCAUCUCCACUGCUCUUUUCCAGACGCCGCCACUACCUAAUCUCAUUGGAAUCUUGGGUUUUGGAUUGAAGUUUGGGAGCAUUUUUUGUUGCUGUCCAGCAAGUUUGGAUUUGGUUCUGGUUGACCAAUUACAUUGAGUUUUGGAACUGAUUUUGCACCAAGCCACAAUUUCAGUUUUGAUUUAAGGUUGCGUAUGGCAAAAGGAAGAUAAGCUUACUUGAGUUUGCUUUUGGGGCCAAAAUUACGAGG